GACGAACGCUGGCGGCGUGCCUAAUACAUGCAAGUCGAGCGGACGAUUCGAAAGCUUGCUUUUGAAUCGUUAGCGGCGGACGGGUGAGUAACACGUGGGCAACCUGCCCUGUAGACGGGGAUAACACCGAGAAAUCGGUGCUAAUACCGGAUAACACGAAAUGUCGCAUGACGUUUCGUUGAAAGGCGGCGCAAGCUGCCGCUACAGGAUGGGCCCGCGGCGCAUUAGCUAGUUGGUGAGGUAACGGCUCACCAAGGCGACGAUGCGUAGCCGACCUGAGAGGGUGACCGGCCACACUGGGACUGAGACACGGCCCAGACUCCUACGGGAGGCAGCAGUAGGGAAUCUUCCGCAAUGGACGAAAGUCUGACGGAGCAACGCCGCGUGAGCGAAGAAGGCCUUCGGGUCGUAAAGCUCUGUUGUUAGGGAAGAACAAGUAACGUAGUAACUGACGUUACUAUGACGGUACCUAACGAGAAAGCCACGGCUAACUACGUG
Molecule: ribosomal RNA, 498 nt
Filed under: uncultured bacterium
Lineage: Bacteria
Description: partial 16S ribosomal RNA
Rfam family: Bacterial small subunit ribosomal RNA
Source: RNAcentral